UGGGGAAUAUUGCACAAUGGAGGGAACUCUGAUGCAGCGACGCCGCGUGAACGAAGAAGGCUUUCGAGUCGUAAAGUUCUUUUAUAUGGGAAGAUAAUGACGGUACCAUAAGAAAAAGCCCCGGCUAACUACGUGCCAGCAGCCGCGGUAAUACGUAGGGGGCUAGCGUUGUCCGGAAUCACUGGGCGUAAGGGGUUCGCAGGCGGAAAUGCAAGUCAGGUGUAAAAGGCAGUAGCUUAACUACUGUAAGCAUUUGAAACUGCAUAUCUUGGGAAGAGUAGAGGUAAGUGGAAUUUUUAUUAUAGCGGUGAAAUGCGUAGAUAUUAAAAAGAAUACCGGUGACGAAGGCGACUUACUGGGCUCAUUCUGACGCUGAGGAACGAAAGCGUAGGUAGCAAACAGG
RNAcentral lists this ribosomal RNA (403 nucleotides) under bacterium. Its description in RNAcentral is "partial 16S ribosomal RNA". It matches the Rfam family "Bacterial small subunit ribosomal RNA", at positions 355 to 776 of the family's 1533-position model. The record is from RNAcentral.